This 253-nucleotide ribosomal RNA is filed under the name uncultured bacterium. Its description in RNAcentral is "partial 16S ribosomal RNA". It matches the Rfam family "Bacterial small subunit ribosomal RNA", at positions 524 to 776 of the family's 1533-position model. The record is from RNAcentral.
UACGUAGGGGGCAAGCGUUGUCCGGAAUCAUUGGGCGUAAAGCGCGCGUAGGCGGCCCGGUAAGUCCGCUGUAAAAGUCCAGGGCUCAACCCUGGAAAGCCGGUGGAUACUGUCGGGCUAGAGUCCGGAAGAGGCGAGUGGAAUUCCCGGUGGAGAGGUGAAAUUCGUAGAUAUCGGGAGGAAUACCAGUGGCGAAGGCGCCGACCUGGCCGGACACUGACGCUGAGGUGCGAAAGCGUGGGGAGCAAACAGG